UUGAAAACGUAAGACUCAAAUCCCCUCUUAGUUUUCAUAAAUAGAACAAUCCCUGAGUGUGCAUGGAGUAACUGAGAGACACAAACCACUGAUUGAGCAGAGCAGCUUGCUUGUUGUUGAAAAGCACAGUUAAAUUAGAUGUCUACAUUGAUGUAUAAGAGUAAUGAUGCUGUUUAAGUAUGCUUGCUGGCUAAAGAGCACAAUAUUCUAUUCUGUAGCUUUACAUAUACACUGUAGUUGACAGUGACCAGUCUAAAUUCAUGAUUUGAAUGGCUUAAAUCAAUUCGUGUGUGUAGAGCCACCUUACCUUAUGCCGUUAGGCCUUGCUGGCUAAGAAGGAAAGGUGGCAAGAAUGACAGAGAAUAUUUUAUUACUCCUGGUGGAAAUUGAGAUAUCCCCUGAUCCUAGAAAAGACAUGCCAUUUAUGUGGUGGAAACGUUUAUCAAAAAGGUUCAAGGAUCAGGAUCAAUAAUGUAUAUUGAUUGUGGGCAUGGCUUGGUUUUUUGAUAUUACUUAAAAUGUUCAAUGAUCCAAUCAUCAACUAUUAUUUUUAAUUUUUUGUGUUAGUGGAAAAAAUAUACCGCAAGAACAAUUCAAACUCUCUCCAUUCAGCCCAUUAUGCCAAUUCCUUUUAUCAAGUGGCAUCCCCUUUAAUGAGACAUCCAGCCAUGUAAUAAAAUCUCUCUCUCUCAUUAUCAUAAGAUGCAAAUGGAGUUACAGCUUCACCAUCCUCUUCAGAAUCUGCAGAAGCAGACAGUAAUCAAGAAGGAGAUUCAGCAACAGAACCAACAGAUGCAAAUAGAGACACAGCUUCACCAUCCUCUUCAAAAUUCGCAGAAGCAGACAGUGACAGAAAAGGAGAUUCAGCAACAGGACCAACAGGCAACUCCUCUGUAAACGAGGAAAAGACGAUAGGAAAUUCACUUCACUCUGCUGCAGAGGCCGAUGAUGUUGAUGAAAUUGAAUCCUUGCUCGCCCUUGGAUUUUCCAUUGACUCGAGAGAUGAUGAUGAGGGUCGAACACCAUUAAUGGUGGCUGCUGGGAAGGGCAAGCUAAAGGCUGUGAAGUGUCUGCUUAAACAGGGUGCUGAUCCGUCAUUACAAAGCAACGAAUGUGGAUGGAAUGUGUUGCAUUUUGCCUCAGGGGGUGGAAACUCUGAG
Long non-coding RNA from Orbicella faveolata, 1160 nucleotides. NCBI's taxonomy places the organism in Eukaryota, Metazoa, Cnidaria, Anthozoa, Scleractinia, Merulinidae. The record is from RefSeq and is a predicted model, not a curated record.